This 57-nucleotide transfer RNA is filed under the name Ictidomys tridecemlineatus (thirteen-lined ground squirrel). RNAcentral's name for it is "Spermophilus tridecemlineatus (thirteen-lined ground squirrel) tRNA". It matches the Rfam family "tRNA", at positions 8 to 63 of the family's 71-position model. Rfam says of the family: Transfer RNA (tRNA) molecules are approximately 80 nucleotides in length. The record is from Rfam by way of RNAcentral. RNAcentral also lists the same sequence under 1 other name. Lineage: Eukaryota; Metazoa; Chordata; Mammalia; Rodentia; Sciuridae.
UGGCUCAGUGGCAGAGCACUUGCCUAGUAUGUAUGAGGCCCUGGGUUCAAUCCCCUG